This 154-nucleotide small nuclear RNA is filed under the name Paramormyrops kingsleyae. Its description in RNAcentral is "U1 spliceosomal RNA (ENSPKIG00000010861.1)". It matches the Rfam family "U1 spliceosomal RNA". From Rfam's summary of the family: U1 is a small nuclear RNA (snRNA) component of the spliceosome (involved in pre-mRNA splicing). Its 5' end forms complementary base pairs with the 5' splice junction, thus defining the 5' donor site of an intron. There are significant differences in sequence and secondary structure between metazoan and yeast U1 snRNAs, the latter being much longer (568 nucleotides as compared to 164 nucleotides in human). Lineage: Eukaryota; Metazoa; Chordata; Actinopteri; Osteoglossiformes; Mormyridae. The record is from RNAcentral.
CCAAUCAGAUGGCUGAACUGUCUACAGUCCGUCUACACUACAGUGACUGCAGACUUUGUACUACUGUACACUAGAGGCCUGCGAAUUCCCCGAAUAUGGGAAUCUCACCUGCAUAAUUUCUGGUAGUGGGGGACUGCGUUCGCGCUCUCUCCCC